AUUGAACGCUGGCGGAAUGCUUUACACAUGCAAGUCGAACGGCAGCACGGGGCAACCUGGUGGCGAGUGGCGAACGGGUGAGUAAUACAUCGGAACGUGCCCAAUCGUGGGGGAUAACGUAGCGAAAGUUACGCUAAUACCGCAUACGAUCUACGGAUGAAAGCGGGGGAUCGCAAGACCUCGCGCGAAUGGAGCGGCCGAUGUCAGAUUAGGUAGUUGGUGGGGUAAAGGCUCACCAAGCCGACGAUCUGUAGCUGGUCUGAGAGGACGACCAGCCACACUGGGACUGAGACACGGCCCAGACUCCUACGGGAGGCAGCAGUGGGGAAUUUUGGGACAAUGGGCGCAAGCCUGAUCCAGCCAUUCCGCGUGCAGGAUGAAAGGCCUUCGGGUUGU
RNAcentral lists this ribosomal RNA (396 nucleotides) under uncultured bacterium. RNAcentral's name for it is "bacterial SSU rRNA". It matches the Rfam family "Bacterial small subunit ribosomal RNA", at positions 30 to 426 of the family's 1533-position model. The record is from RNAcentral.